Molecule: ribosomal RNA, 711 nt
Filed under: Bacillus amyloliquefaciens
Lineage: Bacteria; Bacillati; Bacillota; Bacilli; Caryophanales; Bacillaceae
Description: bacterial SSU rRNA
Source: RNAcentral
UUUGAACCCGCAUGGUUCGGACAUAAAAGGUGGCUUCGGCUACCACUYACAGAUAGACCCGCGGCGCAUYAGCUAGUYGGUGAGGUAACGGCUCACCAAGGCGACGAUGMGUASCCGACCUGAGAGGGUGAUCGGCCACACUGGGACUGAGACACGGCCCAGACUCCUACGGGAGGCAGCAGUAGGGAAUCUUCCGCAAUGGACGAAAGUCUGACGGAGCAACGCCGCGUGAGUGAUGAAGGUUUUCGGAUCGUAAAGCUCUGUUGUUAGGGAAGAACAAGUGCCGUUCAAAUAGGGCGGCACCUYGACGGUACCUAACCAGAAAGCCACGGCUAACUACGUGCCAGCAGCCGCGGUAAUACGUAGGUGGCAAGCGUUGUCCGGAAUUAUUGGGCGUAAAGGGCUCGCAGGCGGUUUCUUAAGUCUGAUGUGAAAGCCCCCGGCUCAACCGGGGAGGGUCAUUGGAAACUGGGGAACUUGAGUGCAGAAGAGGAGAGUGGAAUUCCACGUGUAGCGGUGAAAUGCGUAGAGAUGUGGAGGAACACCAGUGGCGAAGGCGACUCUCUGGUCUGUAACUGACGCUGAGGAGCGAAAGCGUGGGGAGCGAACAGGAUUAGAUACCCUGGUAGUCCACGCCGUAAACGAUGAGUGCUAAGUGUUAGGGGGUUUCCGCCCCUUAGUGCUGCAGCUAACGCMYUAAAGCMCYCCCAU